AGCAGAAAUGCAACUUUUCUCCAGUAUCACUUACUAACUAAUCCAUCCUUUCCCCAAAUUAAAAAUCUCACCUGUAUAAUGUACUACACUCUUCUUUAUACUUGAAAACACACACACACACACACACACACAUUCUGUUAUUCUGGUCUGUUUAUUCCUUGGCCUGUUCUACGUUAUCUUAACUGUUAUAAGCUUAUCAUCAAAUUUAAUAUCUGGCAGGACACGUCACCAUUUGUUUUUUUAAAAAAAUUUUCUAUGCCAAUCUCUCAGUAAUUUUUCCGACAAAUAUUAAGAUCAUUAUGUCAAGCCAUAAAACAAUCCCCCAAGGUUAUCGAUUAUUUUGUGGAAAGCUGGCAUCUUAAUAAUGUCUCUUCAUUCAGUUAAAAUGUAUGCUCUUCCGUCUGAUCAACUCUCCUUUACUAUCCCUCUGUUCAUUUUUAUAGUAUUUUUUAUAAACUCCACACACUUCCUGUUAAGUUUAUUCCAAGGUUCUGUUUGUUUUGCUAUUGAAAAUGAAUCUUUAUCAAUCUUUUAUAGAACCUAGUACAACGCCUUACACAGAGCAAACACAACAUAUUUGAGUAAAUGAAUAACUACUGGUUUCACAUUUACAUACUACACUAGUUUCCAUACCUUAAGUUUACAAAAAAAAAACAAUUUUUUAAAAAAUCCACUAAGAUCAUUUUUAGUACUUGUAUUUCAUGUUUCUCUUAUUCAUUCCCUGUAUUCAAUUAAUCAACAGAGCCAUCAUUUUUUUCUUUGACUUUUUCUUGAGUUUACUUUCUCUAUUCAACUCUUACUCAUCUUAAUCUAGUUACGCACUAUCAUGCUCAAUUCAGAGAAACCAUAUUACCAUAUAUUUAGAAACUGUGCACUCACCAACCAAUGCCUCAAAUCAAAAUUAGAUUCCAUAGUCUCUGUGGAAUUCAAUAUUGACCAUUCCUGCCUUAAAAUGUUCCACCCUUUGUCUCUACAUACUAUCCUUGCCUGCUUAUUCUUUUCUAUUAAUAUUUUCUCUAUUUCCAGUGUUUCUAUUAACAUUUUCU
Long non-coding RNA from Nomascus leucogenys (northern white-cheeked gibbon), 1046 nucleotides. RefSeq lists it as uncharacterized. The transcript is spliced from 3 exons. The record is from RefSeq and is a predicted model, not a curated record. NCBI's taxonomy places the organism in Eukaryota, Metazoa, Chordata, Mammalia, Primates, Hylobatidae.